This 492-nucleotide ribosomal RNA is filed under the name uncultured bacterium. RNAcentral describes it as "partial 16S ribosomal RNA". It matches the Rfam family "Bacterial small subunit ribosomal RNA", at positions 30 to 507 of the family's 1533-position model. The record is from RNAcentral.
AUUGAACGCUGGCGGCAGGCCUAACACAUGCAAGUCGAACGGCAGCACAGUGAUUGCUUGUGGUUACAGCGGCGGACGGGCGAGCGAGGCAUGAGUAUAUCCCAGGCUGCUUUUUCGAAGGUCCGAACGUAGGCGCUCAUACGGUAUUACUGCAGAGGGAGUACGGGGGAGAGCAUUGGACCUUCGGACCUUGGGCGAUUCAAGGAGGCGAUGUCGGAUUGGCUAGUUGGAGGGGUAAAGGCCCACCAAGGCGACGAUCCGUAGCUGGUCUGAGAGGAUGAUCAGUCACACUGGAACUGAGACACGGUCCAGACUCCUACGGGAGGCAGCAGUGGGGAAUAUUGGACAAUGGGCGCAAGCCUGAUCCAGCCAUGCCGCGUGGGUGAAGAAGGUCUUCGGAUUGUAAAGCACUUUUGUUGGGAAAGAAAAGCAGUAGGUUAAUACCUCGCUGUUUUGACGGUACCAAAAGAAUAAGCACCGGCUAACUUCGUG